AAGCGAUUCCGGCUACGGAUGGUCAUGCUUCGCAUUAGUUAGUUGGCGGGGUAACGGCCCACCAAGGCGACGAUGCGUAGGGGUUCUGAGAGGAAGGUCCCCCACACUGGUACUGAGACACGGACCAGACUCCUACGGGAGGCAGCAGUGAGGAAUAUUGGUCAAUGGCCGCAGGGCUGAACCAGCCAAGUCGCGUGAGGGAUGACGGUCCUAUGGAUUGUAAACCUCUUUUGUCAGGGAGCAAAGGGCGCCACGUGUGGCGCUUUGCGAGUACCUGAAGAAAAAGCAUCGGCUAACUCCGUGCCAGCAGCCGCGGUAAUACGGAGGAUGCGAGCGUUAUCCGGAUUUAUUGGGUUUAAAGGGUGCGCAGGCGGAAUGUCAAGUCAGCGGUAAAAUUUCGGGGCUCAACCCCGUCGUGCCGUUGAAACUGGCGUUCUUGAGUGAGCGAGAAGUAUGCGGAAUGCGUGGUGUAGCGGUGAAAUGCAUAGAUAUCACGCAGAACUCCGAUUGCGAAGGCAGCAUACCGGCGCUCAACUGACGCUCAUGCACGAAAGCGUGGGUAUCGAACAGGAUUAGAUACCCUGGUAGUCCACGCAGUAAACGAUGAAUACUAACUGUCCGGGCAGAAUGAUGCCUGG
Molecule: ribosomal RNA, 638 nt
Filed under: uncultured bacterium
Lineage: Bacteria
Description: bacterial SSU rRNA
Rfam family: Bacterial small subunit ribosomal RNA
Source: RNAcentral